This is a long non-coding RNA of Mauremys reevesii (Reeves's turtle), 3191 nucleotides long. RefSeq lists it as uncharacterized. The transcript is spliced from 3 exons. Lineage: Eukaryota; Metazoa; Chordata; Testudines; Geoemydidae. The record is from RefSeq and is a predicted model, not a curated record.
GGAAGGACACAUGCUGCUGGCUCCAGCCAAGGAUCAGCCGAAGCCAGAAGCCAUGGGAGCCAGAGACACCGCAACCCAGGCAGACAUCAGGCUACCCACAGAGGCCUCAGAGUCCGGAGUUGCCAGGGACAGCACAGCCUGGGGAACCCAGAGGCAGCCGAGAUGCUCAGACCGCAGCAGCGAGAAACACAGUAGGCAGCAACCCAAGGGAAACAGAUAGUGGCCCAGUUAGUGAACCAGAACAUUGAGUCAGCAUGUUUCAGUUGGACCUGCCCCCCCACUAAUUCAGGGGCAUAUGCUUCUGCCACUACUUGGGCUGGGGCCCGGUGGAGAGGGAGGGCCCAGGCCCCCCUACCCGGGCUGCCACUACCCCUCUUUCUGGGCAUGGUGGCCCCCUUCCCUGAAUGAGGCCACUUGGCUGCAAGGCCUUAUUGCCCUGCGAACAGGAAUGAAUCCAGUGACUGUGGCCCCUGGGCCGUACUGCCUGGCGAACACUAGCCCUUACUAUCCUGCCAACUGGGCUGGUUCUAAUUGACUUUGGCCAUGAGGCCCUACUGCCCUGCUAAGAGGGGCCAACCUAUUGACUCUGACCCCUGUGCUGGACUUCCCUGCUAACAGGGGCAGAUGCAGUGCAAGGUCUGGAAACCAAAGUCAGCCCAGCAAACUGGGGUGAAUCCAUUGAGGCCUUACUGCCCUGCCAAGAGAAGGGAUUUAUUGACUCUGGCCAUUAGGCCAUACUGCCCCACAAAACAGAGCUAACACCUUGACUUUGGCCAUUAGGCCUCAUUACCCCACUAACAGAGGUGACUAUUGACUCUGGUUACAGAGAUAGACUCAAGUGACACAUACUCUGCGCCUAUGCGCUAAGGGAGAUGGGUCCCCCCACAACCCUGUCACACUGAGCUGAACUAAAAUUGAAAUAAAAAAUACAAAUUUUUGACCAUGUCUAGUAAAGCUAUGUACAAGCAAAAUAAAUAGUACAACUAUAAAGCAGAAAAAGUUGCCUCCAAAGUUCAAUAGUUCUUCAUGACAUUAUUACUAUUACAUACGCAGUUAAAUCAUCAAAAUGUGCCAAAGAGAUGUUAUCACACACCUUACUCAGAUGCAGAUCAUAGCCCAUAGAGAACAGCUGUGUUUUCUGGAAAUGACUUCAUAUUUCUGCAUGUUGUCUACCACACUGAAUCUAACACUUUCAACAGCAAAUAAAGCUUUUCCUUUCACCCCGAUAUUCCAUUUCCUCAAUGUAGUAAAGGUGGUAGUUAGUUGUCAACUAACUAUGCACUGAAAUAUUUUGGCUGCCUUUCUCUAAAACAUUCUUUGCAAAGGUUAAGUAGCUGCAAACCAUGCAAGUAUGUGAAGUUUCCUCCCUGAUUGGAACAGAGGCUAUGCACACUGGGUCUGAUUUGCCUCCAAUUUGCACCAGUUGUGCUCUGGUGCAAGGCCUUUGAUUUCAGCAGAGCUAUUCCUGAUGCAGGGGUGACAAACUGUAAACCCUGUAUAUAAUGGCAACCAUUUCAAGUCAGGGGGUGCUGCAGCACCCCCUGCACCCCUAGUUCCAGUACCUAUGCACUGAUGGAAGUAAAAGGGGAAUCAACCCCACUUUUCCCUUCUUGAGCUGCACCAGCGAGAUGUUUUGUAGUUGGAAUUCCGCAUUCACUUCCAUCUGUCAGACUGAACGGGCUGCUGAAGUGUAUGCUAGAGCUGUGAUGGACACCUGCAGAAAGGACAUCCAUGUGAUCCUGUCAGUAGAGAUCAUAGCUGAUGCACAGCUGUGAAAGCUUGAGGAUUCUACCCAGCUAGCAAAUUCCAUUUGUCUUAUGCAGGAGAAAUGAAUAUGAAUAAAUAUUGCUUUAAAUGAAGCUAUCUCCUGAGCAAACUGCUGCCUCAUACUUGGCAUUCUGUCUCCUGAGAUGGCCAUUAACCUGGAAGACAGCUGGAUCCCUGUGAAAGCCAAAUGGAUUUGUGAUGAACGGAGAUUUUCGAAGAGUUCAAGGAAUGUUGUACAGAAUACACAGUAACUUAUCUGCAGGAUUUACCCUGGGCUGCUACUAAUCAUCUACACUGGGUAUUAAACCAAUGGAUUCUGAGAUCUGUAUUAUUUCCAGUUCAGUGCAUGCUGGUCUUUAUUCUGUCCCCCAACCUUUCUAAGAGGACAAUUGUCAUGAGUUCUAAGAGGACUCAUGACAAUUACCCUUCUGCCUGAGUUUACUGAAGGGUAAUUAGUUCUGUGUGAUAUUCACCUCUACCUGGGAGCAAUAGAAGUUAAUUCAAAUUUCAUUUUUUUUUUACCCACUUACACUGGAACAAAUCUGGAAUAUUAGGACUUGAAAAGCCCUCAGCUGUUCUAACUCAAUUGAUUUUGCUCCCCUCUCGCUGCCCCAGCUCUCAUACCUAUUAGAUCCAAUGGACCCUAAAGUUGCCUAAGGGGCAUAUUUUUCCAGGCAUUUUCAAGGUAAACUAUCAACAGGAAAUAGUGUCUAAUGAGAUUUUUCAAAGGCAUCUAGGUGCCUAUCUGCAUCUUUAGGCACCUAUGUUUAACAAAUCUGGCCCUUUGUGACUUUGGAGCCCAAAGCUCAUCAACUUGCAAUGUGUUUAUGCUCCUAACACACGUAAGUACUGGAAAUCCCACCCUAAACCUUCACAUUUGCCUUGUGAUACCUUGUGUAGAAUGAUGCACUUUUUAAUUAUUAAACAACACAUUAAUCUGUCCCACGUACAAUAUCAGAGACAUGCAGAAAGGACACUACAGAGAACAUCUUGUACAAGUAUAUGCUCUAUCUAGUUUAAAAACUAAGGAUGGCAAUGGGAAGGAAAGUCUGCACCCACAGAGUAGGAAACACUGGAAGGAUGGACAAUAGAAAAGAUCUACUGAUCCUGCCACCCUAACUAUCAUGAUUAGUCUUAAGGAAAUUAUUUGCAUAAGACUACUGAAGGGUUUGCAGAAUGGAGACCCUAGAUAUUUGUAAGGUACUUCAUCCCAGUGUGAUGUGGUGAUCUGAUCUCUCAGUAGUGCUGACCUCCUACUGAAGUCAAUAGUUGUGUCCACUCAAAACCUCUGAAAAAGCAGGCUAUAAGCACCUCAGUAGAAUAAAUCCCUGUUAAAGGGUGUACUUCCCCAAAUAUCCAAACUAAUCAUUGGAAGGUUUGCAUUCACAGAUGCUAUUACAAAGUGGAAAUAAAGCUCAUGCAUC